GCCAGGAUGAAGUCGUAGAUCAGGGCGGCACUUGCACCUCCCAGCAUUGGACCCACCCAGAAGAUCUGAAAUACAACAUCAAACUCAGGAACAUGGGGUUCUGAUGGUAAAUUAUUCCACUGGUCCCACAUAUCUGCUAUCCCACAUCUAGCACCAUCUACCACACACCUGACCAAGGUGCUUGUCCUGCAAUUGGACCUGCAUGGGAUUUCUACAGGAUCGGAGCCCAGGUGCUGUAUAAGAACAAAGAACGACCAUUCAAAAUACAAGUUUGAAGGAUACCAGCUCUAAGAAGAGAGAGGAAAUGUUUCGUGUUGGAAACGGAGUAUCACUGCUUGUAGAGAACCUAGCACAACAGGGUUCUGCUCCUUGACUCAGGCUCCUAGGGUAUGUCUACACUGCCCACUAAGCCUGGGCUCUGACUCCGGUUUAAGCCCAAGCCCGUCUUCUGUCCAGAAACUGAGUAGGUUCAGCAAACAUUCAGGAAGGUCCUCUUGAUUUUGUUAUAGAAUGAUAUCCAGGGGAAAGGACAGUAUCACUCAGACACAGCACAUCUACCUCUUCCAAAGAUAAUCUUCAUCUAUCAGGAGCUUCGCAAUUGCCCAUUUACCCAACGGCAUGGUUAAAAACCCUGAGCUUCGUUACUUGAGCGUUAAUUAUUAAGCGUUGCUCAAGGACAACACACUGCUCCCUUUCUGGGAUGAUUAUUAUCUAUAUAACCCUGGCAACCAUUCAUUGACUCCAUGGCCGUGUAGAAGAGUGUGGUCUAUAAGUAAAUCUUUCUUGGCGUUUGCAUGCAGAACUGCAGGUAGUUCUACCACAGCGCACUCCUGAUUUAAAGUAGAUAAUGUCCAGAAACAGCUUUUAUUUUUGCCGGUCUGUUUAAUGCACACUUGGAAUUACAUCACCCACUGUUCAGUUCACAAGACCCAUCUCAAGCCUUGGUAAAGACAAGCAGGUGAUGUAAUCUGAUGGGAUGGUUCAACAGCCUGCAAGAUUCAAAGGUACAUUUGUUGUUCAAACAGUGAUCACUAGAGCUGCUCAUGGAGUGAGCAGAAUUCUUUCUCUGUGCAGUUGUGGGAAACAUAUGGCAACCACAUUGCAAAUAGCUCUUACAGGUGACAAAAUGCUUCGCUCUUUGAUUUGUCCAUGAGUGGAGGUAUUCAAGCUACCUUCUUGCUGUUGCUCUUCAUGGACAUAUUUAGCUGACCCAUUUCCACCACUUUGAGCAGGAGUGUGGGCAAUUAAUAGCAUGUUUUCUUUCCUUUUGUUUUAUCAGAGCAGGACAUUUCUUAGUAAUCUGACUUCAAAACAGAAACAGGGAACAGGAAAUUAAACUGGCCCAAGGUGAACAUGACUAUGUACUUUUCUGAGGGCUUCAUAUUUUUUGUAUUAGGGACAAAAGUACAUCAAGUCAAAACAUGGUUCCAAUUAUAUGGACAAGAGAAUAGAAAGGACAUUAUUAUUUGUUACCCAAGGUGGUUUUAUCACGUGGAACUAUGUGCCAUAUCAUCCAGCACCCUUCUAGCUAUGUAGCAUACAUUCCAGGGUUCAAUUCACUUUUAUAUAACAGGGAAUUGGUCAGUUUCUCAUCAUUCCUUUAAAAUAUGGAACUUUUUGCAAAUGAGUACAUCAACCUUGCAUAGGGGACAUAGUGAUCUUUGUAUCUUCCGAACACUUCUCUACAUGCCAUACUGAUAUGUUUUCUCCUAGCAUGAAAAUUAAGCAAUAUGGAAUGUAGAAUUUCCUUGACAAAAACCUCCAGAGUUACUUUUAGUGAAUUCAAUUCUAGAAAUUACAGGUGGAAAAGACUUGUUAGGUCUUCCCUUUAGGAGUACUGGAAUGUUCCCUAUAGUAUGGCUUAUCUAGUCUGGUUUUAAGGAAUGGGAUUUUCAUCACUUCUCUUGGGAAUCUGUUGCAUAGUUUCACAGAGUUUAAUGCUCAAAAGCGCCAUUAGAUCAUGCAGUCUGACCUCCUGUGUUUAACAGGUAAUUAAUUUUUAUCUAUAUACCCCUAUAUUAUGCCCAAAGAUUUUAGUUGGGCCAAAGCAUUAUAGUCCUAGGAGACUAAUCUGUGUGCUGCAAUUUACUUUCCUGUUCUCCCUGCUAGCUAGUCCCCUUAGACCAUCCUAAAUAAUUAUUCUCCCUUCUUCCACUAACAGCUAAUGCAUAUUUAUGCAUUAACCCUGAAGAACCCCACAUACGGCAUAGCUUGCAAAAUAACUAUAUAGGACUGUGAGAGUUAAAAGAUUCUUCCACUGUGCUGGGCUCACUGAAAUCCUUAAUUCCCCCAAACUUUCUUUUAAUAUGUUUAGAGUGUAAAUGCAGUGUGCACAGAACCUAGCAUCUGUGGGGCAUUACUGUAAUACAGAUAAUAUAAUCAAUAAUAAUAAUAAUUAAUAAUAAUAAUUAAUAAUUUGUAUCUUUUUCCUACAGUGAACUCAUUCUUUAGUAUGUAACAUACAAGAAGCUUCUAAUAACUACCACUAGACAUCCCCAUAUUUCCCACCAUAGACAUUAGCUCACCCAGUCCAUCUCCCUCCCAGUGCAGGUCUGUUCCCUAAAGAACAUUUCCUGCUGCUUUCCCCAGCCGAGUUUGAAGUAUCCUAAGUGAUGCAGCUCUCCCCACUUCUUUCAGGAGGUUGUUUCACAGACAUGCACUCUCUGAAAGUGUUCCUUACUAUUUAACUUAAACACUCCCCUGCUUAAUCUUACCAUGUUCUUUCUAAUGAUAAUUCGUUGUACGACCUGAAAUGAUUAAUCGCCUUCUUUUCUAUUCAUACUCUACAAAUAUCAAUACUCUGUUAUCAUAGCCAUUAGUCAUUAUCUAGCCAACCUACAGAGAUUCAUAUUAAACUCUAUGAAUCUCAUCUCAUAAAUCAAUAUCUGCAGUCCACCCACACAACCACUUUGUUCUACUCCACAGUCCCUCAGUUAUUCUGUUGGUACAGGACACCUUUCCUCAGACUGGCUCAUCUGUUGUCUCCAUUAACUCAGGUAACUAUGUCCCGACCACCACAAUUCAUGGUCCUGUUCCAAUUGGAUAUGAGCAACUUCACUUCCUGUCCUAGCCUGUACUUAGGGGUUUUAUGCACCGUAGAACUAUGGCAGCAUUUAAUCCCAGUGAUGGUGGCAAUUCAAUGGGGGACCAAAACAAUCACUCUAUGUCACGUGGGUAUUUUUAAGGGACUUUGAGAUACUGUAGGAUCACAGCACUGAAGUCAAUGGGACUGCUCACACGACUGAAGUUAGUAAAAGCUGUUAUCCAGCACUUUACAAACCGGAAAGCUCUAUAAACCGGCAUUUCUCAUCUUCACGGAAAGCCCGAUUUAUAGUUCAGUUGGUGUGGGGCCAGCAGGCUUCCAACCUGGCUCUGCUUGGCUCCCCAGAAGUGGCAACAUGUCCCUCCUGCUGCUAGGCGGAGGAACGGUCACAAGGGGUUCAGAGUGCGGGAGGGAGUGCAGG
Gopherus evgoodei (Goodes thornscrub tortoise) is the source of this 3464-nucleotide long non-coding RNA. RefSeq lists it as uncharacterized. The record is from RefSeq and is a predicted model, not a curated record. The transcript has 3 exons. Lineage: Eukaryota; Metazoa; Chordata; Testudines; Testudinidae.